UACGAAGGGGGCUAGCGUUGUUCGGAAUUACUGGGCGUAAAGCGCGUGUAGGCGGGUCUUUAAGUCAGGGGUGAAAUGCCAAGGCUCAACCUUGGAACUGCCUUUGAUACUGGAGACCUUGAGUCCGGGAGAGGUGAGUGGAAUUGCGAGUGUAGAGGUGAAAUUCGUAGAUAUUCGCAAGAACACCAGUGGCGAAGGCGGCUUACUGGCCCGGAACUGACGCUGAGACGCGAAAGCGUGGGGAGCGAACAGG
Molecule: ribosomal RNA, 253 nt
Filed under: uncultured bacterium
Lineage: Bacteria
Description: partial 16S ribosomal RNA
Rfam family: Bacterial small subunit ribosomal RNA
Source: RNAcentral